UACGAAAGGGGCCAGCGUUGUUCGGAAUUACUGGGCGUAAAGCGCACGUAGGCGGCCUUGUAAGUUGGGGGUGAAAUCCCCGGGCUCAACCCGGGAACUGCCUUCAAGCCUGCAAGGCUCGAGGAUGCGAGAGGUUGGCGGAAUUCCGAGUGUAGAGGUGAAAUUCGUAGAUAUUCGGAAGAACACCAGUGGCGAAGGCGGCCAACUGGCGCAUUUCUGACGCUGAGGUGCGAAAGCGUGGGGAGCAAACAGG
RNAcentral lists this ribosomal RNA (253 nucleotides) under uncultured bacterium. RNAcentral describes it as "partial 16S ribosomal RNA". It matches the Rfam family "Bacterial small subunit ribosomal RNA", at positions 524 to 776 of the family's 1533-position model. The record is from RNAcentral.